GCCCAGGUGGCGAAAUUGGUAGACGCACCAGAUUUAGGUUCUGGCGUAGAAAUACGUGGGGGUUCGAGUCCCUUCCUGGGCACCA
RNAcentral lists this transfer RNA (85 nucleotides) under Dechloromonas agitata. RNAcentral describes it as "tRNA-Leu". It matches the Rfam family "tRNA". From Rfam's summary of the family: Transfer RNA (tRNA) molecules are approximately 80 nucleotides in length. RNAcentral also lists the same sequence under 8 other names. The record is from RNAcentral. Lineage: Bacteria; Pseudomonadati; Pseudomonadota; Betaproteobacteria; Rhodocyclales; Azonexaceae.